Molecule: unclassified non-coding RNA, 279 nt
Filed under: uncultured fungus
Lineage: Eukaryota; Fungi
Description: partial contains small subunit ribosomal RNA, internal transcribed spacer 1, and 5.8S ribosomal RNA
Rfam family: Eukaryotic small subunit ribosomal RNA (bases 1-73)
Source: RNAcentral
GCAAACUUGGUCAUUUAGAGGAAGUAAAAGUCGUAACAAGGUCUCCGUUGGUGAACCAGCGGAGGGAUCAUUACUGAGUGUUACAACUCCCAAACCCUUUGUGAACAGUACCAUUCGUUGCUUCGGCGGACCGCCCCGGCGCCUCGCGCGCCGGACCCAGGCGUCCGCCGGGGGCCCGAAACUCUUGCAUGUCAGUGGAAUUCUCUGAGUGGCACAAGCAAAUAAAUCAAAACUUUCAACAACGGAUCUCUUGGUUCUGGCAUCGAUGAAGAACGCAGC